CAUGCAAGUCGAGCGAACAGACGAGGAGCUUGCUCCUCUGACGUUAGCGGCGGACGGGUGAGUAACACGUGGAUAACCUACCUAUAAGACUGGGAUAACUUCGGGAAACCGGAGCUAAUACCGGAUAAUAUAUUGAACCGCAUGGUUCAAUAGUGAAAGACGGUUUUGCUGUCACUUAUAGAUGGAUCCGCGCCGCAUUAGCUAGUUGGUAAGGUAACGGCUUACCAAGGCAACGAUGCGUAGCCGACCUGAGAGGGUGAUCGGCCACACUGGAACUGAGACACGGUCCAGACUCCUACGGGAGGCAGCAGUAGGGAAUCUUCCGCAAUGGGCGAAAGCCUGACGGAGCAACGCCGCGUGAGUGAUGAAGGUCUUCGGAUCGUAAAACUCUGUUAUUAGGGAAGAACAAAUGUGUAAGUAACUAUGCACGUCUUGACGGUACCUAAUCAGAAAGCCACGGCUAACUACGUGCCAGCAGCCGCGGUAAUACGUAGGUGGCAAGCGUUAUCCGGAAUUAUUGGGCGUAAAGCGCGCGUAGGCGGUUUUUUAAGUCUGAUGUGAAAGCCCACGGCUCAACCGUGGAGGGUCAUUGGAAACUGAAAAACUUGAGUGCAGAAGAGGAAAGUGGAAUUCCAUGUGUAGCGGUGAAAUGCGCAGAGAUAUGGAGGAACACCAGUGGCGAAGGCGACUUUCUGGUCUGUAGCUGACGCUGAUGUGCGAAAGCGUGGGGAUCAAACAGGAUUAG
RNAcentral lists this ribosomal RNA (745 nucleotides) under uncultured Staphylococcus sp. RNAcentral describes it as "bacterial SSU rRNA". It matches the Rfam family "Bacterial small subunit ribosomal RNA", at positions 54 to 781 of the family's 1533-position model. The record is from RNAcentral. Lineage: Bacteria; Bacillati; Bacillota; Bacilli; Caryophanales; Staphylococcaceae.